GGGCCUGUAGCUCAGUUGGUAGAGCGCGUGCUUUGCAAGCAUGAGGUCUCGGGUUCGAUCCCCGACGGGUCCA
This 73-nucleotide transfer RNA is filed under the name Candidatus Pacearchaeota archaeon. RNAcentral describes it as "tRNA-Ala". It matches the Rfam family "tRNA". From Rfam's summary of the family: Transfer RNA (tRNA) molecules are approximately 80 nucleotides in length. Their secondary structure includes four short double-helical elements and three loops (D, anti-codon, and T loops). Lineage: Archaea; Nanobdellati. The record is from RNAcentral.